UACGGAGGGUGCAAGCGUUAUCCGGAAUCACUGGGUUUAAAGGGUGCGUAGGCUGUUAGAUAAGUCAGUUGUGAAAUUCUCCGGCUUAACCGGAUGGACUGCGAUUGAUACUGUUUAACUUGAAUCAGGUUGAGGUAGGCGGAAUGUGGCAUGUAGCGGUGAAAUGCAUAGAUAUGCCAUAGAACACCGAUUGCGAAGGCAGCUUGCUGGACCUGUAUUGACGCUGAGGCACGAAAGCGUGGGGAGCAAACAGG
RNAcentral lists this ribosomal RNA (254 nucleotides) under uncultured bacterium. RNAcentral describes it as "partial 16S ribosomal RNA". It matches the Rfam family "Bacterial small subunit ribosomal RNA", at positions 524 to 776 of the family's 1533-position model. The record is from RNAcentral.